Xylaria scruposa is the source of this 81-nucleotide non-coding RNA. The record is from the annotation of a GenBank genome assembly. NCBI's taxonomy places the organism in Eukaryota, Fungi, Ascomycota, Sordariomycetes, Xylariales, Xylariaceae.
GGGCAUGUGGUGUAAGUGGUAACACCCGGGACUCUCAUUAUCCGGCACCCGGAGCUGCCGGUUCGACUCCGGCCAUGCCUG